RNAcentral lists this transfer RNA (163 nucleotides) under Candidatus Woesearchaeota archaeon. RNAcentral describes it as "tRNA-Phe". Lineage: Archaea; Nanobdellati; Candidatus Woesearchaeota. The record is from RNAcentral.
GCCAGGGUCGCAUAAUCUGGUAUUGCGUCGAGCUGAAAACUCGAGGUCUGCCCAGGCCAUGUGGGUUCGAAUCCUGUGAUUUGAAUUGCGGGCGAAUGCUUAAAAACCUUCGGUUUUUGGCACCUCGAGAAUCUGAGAUUCUCAAGGAUUCCCGCCCCUGGCG